Molecule: long non-coding RNA, 3065 nt
Organism: Thalassophryne amazonica
Lineage: Eukaryota; Metazoa; Chordata; Actinopteri; Batrachoidiformes; Batrachoididae
Exons: 2
Source: RefSeq, a predicted model, not a curated record
AAUUUUUUUCAUACUCAGUUUUAACUACUGCAUUUGAUGUGUGUGUCAAGUCGGAAUGCCUACUUUAUUACCAUCUAAAGUUAUUGAAAUAACAGUAACAAGAUACAGAAUAUCUGGUUUUUCUUCACUGUGCCAGACUUUCAGUGGGUCACCAGUUUACAUACACUUCUUUAAACUGCCAACACACACACACACACACACAACUCGACAAAAUCUGUUUUUUAACUCAUAAAAAAUGCUUAAUAACUUAAGCAUAAAUGUGAAUGAGUCAAAACACUACUUAAAUGAGGGUACCCUCAAAUCAUGAAGUCACUUUUCCUAAAACACAAAAUUUAUGGCAUAUUAAUUAGCUUCUAGCUUACUCAGUAAUCUUGGGAUUUUAGCAUAAAAUAUACUGAACAAAAGCUCAUUAUGUGCAUAAUUCCCCAAAACAAGUUUUUGUGGCAUUCCAGUCAAAACAGACUUUUCAUUCUUUAAAAUAAUAGAAGCGGGUUUUUAAAAAAAAUAACUGUCUUCCAUAAUAAGCAAAUAAUAAAUAAAUAAUAAACUAAUUGUAGCCCAAAAUUUUCAAUGCUAUCAUUCAAAUUUAUGUUAGAAAAAAAUUAUUUUGUUGAGCUGGGGGGCGGGGGGUUCCACAAGGGACCCACUUCUGGCCCAUGGCCUAGAAUAGAUUAACAUUCCACUUCUGAAUCAGUAAAUUACAUAAUUCAGUCCCUGAAGAACCAAUGCCUUGUUGCAUUAAGAGAGGGACUCCAAAACUAAAAUAAUUUCCAUCUUGCAACUAUUAUUUUAAAAAAUUUUACAUGGAAACAAAGUAGACAUUCAGGCAAUGUCCGAUUUUCAAAACGCAUGACUAUUCAAGAACAUCCAGAAACUGAGUUACAUGCAAAACCUUCCGAAAAAUAUGAAAUGGCAUAAUUCUGAGUUAAAUGGGGAAAGGGUGGCUGCAUUUCAAGUACACCUGAAGAAUCUCGACGUACUGUUGCAUCUAAGAGCAGGAAGAUUCCAGAGGAAAAUUUUGGCUCUUAAGUCACAUUCCUUCUUUGGAGCCAUCCUAAAAAUAUCCAUGGUACUACAAGCAACUGUACACACUGGGACCACGGUCCCAAGCUUUUUAAGAUUUGGGCUUCUUUCCUCAGUGAAAUGAGUCUGCAUGCAUACAGACUCAUAUCAUUGAGGGGAAAAAAGCCCAAAUUAACAUCCAGGAAAUAAACUUUUGGUCUAAAGGUUUAAACAGAACCGCAGAGUGACAUUGUCCACCUUUAACAGAGCACUUUAUCACCGCAACACCCACCCAAAAAAUUAAAAUAAAAUCUGUCGACAUGAUCAACUGUAAACUUUCUUCAAACUAAUCAUGUACAUUUUCGACCCAUCUGACACUCAUGCAGUGGGUUCGGCGACAGAUGAUAUUCAGCACACAUUUUUUUUUGAGUCUGAUCCAGAACAUGUUUGCUUCCGUUGCCUCACCUAAAAUGUUAAACCCAUUAUAAGGGAACUAUUCAAACUGGGCUAAUUCAGUGAUUUAUUGAGACAAUUUAUGGUGCAGGUAUUUCAGGGCAGAUACAUAGACCAAUGCACACUAAUAGAAUCCUCUGCCUGUUGACUUAAGAGCAUGGUUGCAUAAAUUUCAGUAAAAUUCCCCCACGCUACAUGGAGAAAGUCUAGUCAGAAUUUUGCCCAGGCCCGUCUGUUAGUGGCAGUCAGUGGAAUUAGCCAUUAUUACUCCAGCAGAGGUAUGAACUCAGAAUGACCUUCAAGUCUUUAUAAUAACACACUGCAAUGCUGACAUGGGUGACCCUCUGCAAUCUGCAUUGCUAUAAAAACCUGAUGUAUAUGAAUGUAGUGGACAAGUCCACUAGCACAAUUACAGCAACCAAAAUUCAUGGAUAUAAAAAAACGUGUGACAAGCUGUACAUUAUUGGGUGACCUUUGCAGACAAGAACCUCUACAUAAAUGCACCAUGAGUUACUAUACAGUACCUGGUACAGCCACAAGAGAGAAGCAAAACACAAAUACAAGUGCUCUCCAUCACAAGGUUAGAGGCUCUUUGAAUGAGCAGUUUGAGUUUUUAUUUCACUGCAAUCUGCUGAUCAUUUGAGUUCCUCUGCCAAUACCCAAUCAGUGAAACAACUGCUGUUAACUACAAACCAAUGUCUUUUGCCAAUGCCCCCACCCCACCCCCUCCAAAACAAACAAACAAAAAAGUAUAAACUCCAUGUGCUCAUUCAUGGGGGCUUUACAAUAUAUGUAAAUCAAAACUGAAUUAUUUUCUUGAUGGAAAGAUCAGUGUCCAUCCCAUCAAUGACAAGUGUCUCCUACCCCAUAAGCACAGGGGUGGGCAACUUGUUCCAUAAAGGGCCAAGAGGGUGCAGGUUUUCUUUGCAGCCACUAAUUCCACCAGGUGAUUUCACUGAUUAAUAUCACUUUGAGCAGAUGGAAUCAGUUAAUCAGUGAAAUCACCGGUGGAGUCAGUGGCUGCAAAGAAAACCUGCACCCUCUUGGCCCUUUCUGGAUCAUGUUGCCCACUCCUGCCAUAGCAGCUACAUCAACACAGUGAUUCACAUGAUUCCAUUCAAAUUCAUGAUGCAAAAACUAUGACAAACAUUCUGUCCUGAUUAAAUUGGAAGUUGAAAAGACUUGACAGAUAGCACCAGGGGGAUAAUGUUCAAAUAAUCAUUUGGAGAUAAUAUAGACAUUUUUGGUAAGAAAAAUGUCAGUAGGUUAAAAAAGACAAAAACAAAAAACCCUUAAAUCAGCAGAGUGGUCGACCUGGGAGGUGCAUUUCUUUGGCUCAUCUAAUGUAGAAUAGCGUCACUAACAUUCAAAUAACAGUACAGCUGCAGAAAAACACUUUAAAAUGGGCAAUACAACAUAAUCAUUUAAACCCAGUCAAAAUUGUUUUCAGGUCUUCAAGUGAAGUAAAUCAUGUCAGGAUGAUAAAUUUUUCACCCUGUUAAACCAAAAAUCUUUCACAAAGUGACUCUAAAGUACUUUGUCAGAAGUUUAACAUCCAAUAAAUAUGCAUUGGCAGUAUGAUUGAAAUGGUUUUUGUUGUUAAAAAGAAA